GAGGGAAGAUAGGGUCCGGUGGCUCUGCUGGACUUCAAAUCCAGUUAGGGGUGGUUACCAUCCCUGGUGGGUUCGACUCCCACCUUCCCUCGCCA
Molecule: transfer RNA, 95 nt
Filed under: Candidatus Poribacteria bacterium
Lineage: Bacteria; Candidatus Poribacteria
Description: tRNA-Sec
Rfam family: Selenocysteine transfer RNA
Source: RNAcentral